Molecule: transfer RNA, 90 nt
Filed under: Nemania serpens
Lineage: Eukaryota; Fungi; Ascomycota; Sordariomycetes; Xylariales; Xylariaceae
Description: tRNA-Glu
Rfam family: tRNA
About the family: Transfer RNA (tRNA) molecules are approximately 80 nucleotides in length.
Source: RNAcentral
UCCGAAUUGGUGUAGUGGCUAACAUUUCACGCUCUCACUUGGUAGACAAGUAGAUCCGUGGAGCCCGGGGUUCGAUUCCCCGAUUCGGAG